This 2394-nucleotide long non-coding RNA is filed under the name Ficedula albicollis (Collared flycatcher). RNAcentral's name for it is "lncRNA (ENSFALG00000027588.1)". The record is from RNAcentral. Lineage: Eukaryota; Metazoa; Chordata; Aves; Passeriformes; Muscicapidae.
AUGUCCAAUAACAGUGCCAGCAGUGGGAUCUGCAGAGGGCUGGGCUGGCAGCUGGCCAGUCUUGGUUCCCAACACCUGCAGGGGACUUCUCAGUGUGGCCUGUGUUCUGUCUCUUUCCCAGCAGUGUGUUGGAAGGUUGUCCUUGCCUCUGGCAUCUCUGAGGCUGCAGCAGAACCCAGUGUUUGGGGGAAGGAGCACAGCACCCUGUGCAGAGGAGUGAGAACCAGUGCUGCCCACAGGGCUGUGUCAAUCCAUGCUCCGUGUCAAUCCAUGCACUGUGUCAAUCCAUGCUCCAUGUCAAUCCAUGCACUGUGUCAAUCCAUGCACUGUCAAUCCAUGCACUGUGUCAAUCCUUGCUCUGUAUCAGUCAUGCACUGUGUCAAUCCAUGCACUUUAUCAAUCCAUGCUCUGUGUCAAUCCAUGCUCUGUAUCAAUCCAUGCUCUGUGUCAAUCCAUGCUCCAUGUCAAUCCAUGCACUGUGUUAUCCACGCACCAUUGAGCAGGUCUGGAUAUGGCCCAACCCUGCCAGCUGCUGUUAUGGCCAAAAAGGGCCCAGGAUGCUGCAGGGAGGGAAGCAGCCAGGACAUUGCAGAUGCCAGUGUUUAGGCUGGGCUGUUCCCUGUAUCCCACGUGUGGCCAGGAUUUCAGUCAGCCCUAGCAGUGGGCAGGAGGGCGCACACUUGCCGGAGUGGAGCAAAGCCAACCUUUUUCUGGGGCACACCACAUUGCAGGGCUGUCCCAGUGGCACAGCCCAGCCCAGCUCCUCUGCAGGCAGCUCCAGGAAUUUCAAGGCUGAGGGAAGUGUCCUAGAGAGGGGUAAUUUGGCCAAAAGAGCAGAUUUAACAGCUCUAUUUGUGCAGUAAAUAUACUUUAGGUCCUUUUAUGGCUUUCUCUUCUAGCAUGUCUGGCCUGGGAGUGUUGAUCUAAUUCCACAGUUAAAGGGAAUUUAGCUCGUUCAGUGAAGACCCCAGAAGGGAUUUGCCGCGGAUUCCCAGUUUCUGGCAUAGCAGACACUCAAAUCCAGGGCUUUUCCCGAGCCUUGCAGCGCUGGGAACGCCUUACCCGGCUGCUGCUGUCCAGGGCUGGGGGGAACUGGGCUGCGAGGCAAACACGGCUCCCCAAAAGCCAGGAAAAUUGGGCGGCCAGCUCGAGGGGGAGCCCCGCAGGGACGACAGAUGGGGUGAGCGAGUGUCCCCAAACGCCCUGCUCAGCCUGCGGCCGGUCGAGGCUGUGUGUUUCCACUAGAUGGUGACAAAAGGCUGCCGGUCCCGGGUGGGAGCCCGCGGGGACCCCCGGCUCCCCCAGCCGCCCUCCCUGUGCGCAGCGGAGCGGGGCCCCCUGCCCUGCCUCCUUCUUCGCUGCCAGGGCAUCCCGGGACGCGCUUGCUGCUCGCCGGACACCAGCAGCAGUCAGGAGAGAAGUUUUACCUGUGGCUGGUGCAGGCGUCUGCUGCCAAAAAAUUGUCAGGCAUCUCCAGCAAACACCCAGAAGGUGCUCGGAAAAGGGGGAAACGAGCUGGAAAAGCAAUGGAAAGUGUCCCUGAGCGCCCCAGCAUGAUAUCACCUGCUAUGUGGUCUGAGUUGUGGCCGCAUGUGUAUGGCAUGGCAGAGGUGACAGCAAAAAGAAAGCAAAACCAAAACCAAAACGAAACAAAAAAAAACAAAACAAAAAAACCAACGACAUCAACAACAAAAAACCCAAAAACAAAUACAAAAACAACAACGAAAAAAAACAACAGAAAGCAACACUAUAAAAAAAAAUUUGCCAAUCCCAGCAGCACCAGGCACUCAAAAAAACCAACAGAAAACAACACUAUAAAAACAAAUUUGCCAAUCCCAGCAGCACCAGGCACUCAGGGCUUGUCCUCUCUCUCCCCAGCUGCACAGUUCCCCAGGCCCUGAUUAAUGCAGUGCAGAAAAUGAGAUGGGACUGGGUAGUAGUCUAAUUAAGUAUUUUCUUCAUUAUCCCCCUGUCUGUGCCAAGAGGAGAGUCCUCAAGGAUGACGAGUAUGAAUUGGGUGCAGGGCUUGCUGUGACAAAUGGCACUUAAUUCAAGUAGCCACAGAAAAGAGCAUGUCCUCUGCCCUGAAAUGGGCAGCUUGGGACACGCUGGCCUGCAGGGAUGAAAGUCAACAUUGCCUAUCAGAGUACUGAAUUUCUUCUCUGGGAAGCAUCCUUUCUUGAGAUGGGAUGCUGCAGGAAUUGGCAUGGGCCCCUGGAGCCAGGCAUACCCAUUGUCACUCUGGCAGAUGCUGGGUGAUUACCCAGCACAUCCCUGUGCCAUUUCCUGGGGUUCCUAGACAAGGAAACCCAUGGGUGACUCCCACAGGGAGUUUUGUACAUGCAGAUUUAGUCUCCACAAGACCUCCAAGUAUUCCUUGUAGUGAUAAUUUCU